RNAcentral lists this ribosomal RNA (497 nucleotides) under uncultured bacterium. Its description in RNAcentral is "partial 16S ribosomal RNA". It matches the Rfam family "Bacterial small subunit ribosomal RNA", at positions 28 to 507 of the family's 1533-position model. The record is from RNAcentral.
GAUGAACGCUGGCGGCGUGCCUAAUACAUGCAAGUCGAGCGAACAGACGAGAAGCUUGCUUUUCUGAUGUUAGCGGCGGACGGGUGAGUAACACGUGGAUAACCUACCUAUAAGACUGGGAUAACUUCGGGAAACCGGAGCUAAUACCGGAUAAUAUUUUGAACCGCAUGGUUCAAAAGUGAAAGACGGUCUUGCUGUCACUUAUAGAUGGAUCCGCGCUGCAUUAGCUAGUUGGUAAGGUAACGGCUUACCAAGGCAACGAUGCAUAGCCGACCUGAGAGGGUGAUCGGCCACACUAGAACUGAGACACGGUCCAGACUCCUACGGGAGGCAGCAGUAGGGAAUCUUCCGCAAUGGGCGAAAGCCUGACGGAGCAACGCCGCGUGAGUGAUGAAGGUCUUCGGAUCGUAAAACUCUGUUAUUAGGGAAGAACAUAUGUGUAAGUAACUGUGCACAUCUUGACGGUACCUAAUCAGAAAGCCACGGCUAACUACGUG